GGUAAUAUUUUACCUCAUAACAUAAGCCUUUGAUUGCAUCAAGAGUUUAAUUUGUAUGCACUAUAUGUAUAAAAAACGUGACAAUAAAUUAUAGGAUGACGGUGUAAAAUAGGUGGCAAUAUAUUAUUGCAUAAAUAAUUGUAUAUUAACUUAACCCUAAAAUUGUUUGUUUAUCAAUCAUCAUAUUAGUAUAUGCUUAAAAUUGGAUGUUUUAAUGCAGGGUUUUGUCAUAUCAGAUUGGGAGGGAAUCGACAGGAUAACUUCACCUCCUCAUGCUAACUACACAUUUUCAAUUGAAGCCGGAGUGAAUGCCGGUAUUGACAUGGUAAACUAUGUUUUUUACUAGUCUUUUGAAUAGCUGUAUAUUUUUUAUUAUUAUUAGGAAUUGAACUCGGAAUUUUAAGGUUUACAAUACUUGCACAUUCUGUGAACCAACCACUUGCACCGAAUCCCGGUGGUGUUGAUUAGUCUUAUUCAUAAAAAAUAUAAUCUUUAAUAUUUACCCUUGUAAUGAUGCAGAUAAUGAUUCCCCAUAACUACACUGAAUUCAUUGAUGGCCUAACCUUACUAGUGAAAAAGAAUGUCAUACCUAUGAGUAGAAUUGAUGAUGCAGUGAAGAGAAUUUUGAGAGUCAAGUUUGUUAUGGGCCUAUUUGAAAAUCCAUUGGCUGAUUACAGCCUUGCCGAUCAGCUCGGGAGCCAGGUUAGUCGAUCAGCUCAGAGCUUACACUGUCAAUCAAUAGUAAUCGUAAGAUCGUUUAAAAUGUUUGGUGUUGACAGGAGCAUAGGGAAUUGGCUAGGGAAGCGGUGAGGAAAUCAUUGGUACUAUUAAAGAAUGGUGAAAAUGUUGAUAAGCCGAUACUUCCUCUUCCUAAAAAGGCUUCCAAAAUACUUGUUGCUGGAAGUCAUGCUGAUAAUCUAGGAUAUCAAUGUGGUGGAUGGACCAUUCAAUGGCAAGGACAAAGUGGCAACAACAUCACCACUGGUAUACAAAACAGCUAUUUUCCGCGAUUUACAAUUGACAGUACUGAUAUUCAUAACAUACAAUGUUAACAUUGCUUAACUAAUAUACAGGUACUCCAAUUCUGAGUGCUAUAAAAAACGCAGUCGACAAAGAAACCAAGGUAUUCUACGAGGAGAAUCCUUCAUUAGACUAUGUAAAAUCCAAUGAUUUUUCAUAUGCAAUUGUGAUAGUUGGAGAGACACCAUAUGCUGAAACAAAUGGUGACAGCUUAAACUUAACAAUCUCUGGACAUGGAUAUGAAACGAUAGACAAUGUAUGCAGCGGAGUGAAAUGUGUCGUUGUGUUAAUCACCGGUAGACCUAUUGUUAUACAACCAUAUCUUGAGAAAAUUGAAGGACUUGUGGAUGAUUGGCUUCCUGGUAGUGAAGGUUCUGGUGUUGCCGAUGUUUUGUUUGGUGAUUAUGGAUUUACCGGUAAACUUCCAAGGACAUGGUUUAAGACUGUUGAUCAGUUACCAAUGAAUGUUGGUGAUUCUCAUUAUGAUCCUUUGUUUCCAUUUGGAUUUGGUCUUACAACUGAAGCUCAUAAGGCUACUUCAGAAUAUUAGAUUUUGUUAAAUCAUUUAGCAUUUUUUGUGUUCUUAGGCUAUUUAUUACUAUUGUAUUUUUUUCUACAUUAGAUGUUAGUACCAAAUUGGUAUUUUCAUAUACUAUGUUUGAAAAAAAAAAUCAGCUUUAAUUGUUAAACUUAUUGAGUUCCAAUUAAAUUUAUAUGUUUUUUGUUUAGACAAAUGUAAGUGGUUAGAAAAUUGUUAACGGCGGAGAUCGAACUCUAACCUCCUUAUGAAUACUUUUUCGAUGUUCUCACUUAUAUUACUGAGCUACACCUUCAAGAUCAAAUCUAUCCGAUGUUAACCUUCUUGAACUUACAUUUUAUGAAUUUCGGAAAGAGACUUUGAAAGUCUAUAUUUGUUUUUAAAAAAAAAAUAAUGCCAAAAGAUAAUGUAGUUUUUGUUUUAAGAAAUAAAUCUUAGGAGGCAAGUAUGAGUUAUGAUGCUUAGAUUGUGAUCUUACCGGAUUUAGUAAGACCACAAAAAAUACAACUAACCGUUGGAGGAGAGAUGUUGAUAUGAGACAAAAAAUAGAAUCUCUCAAGUGUAGGGAUUCUAAUUACUUAAACUAUCAUUAGGGCCUGGUAAGGCUACAAUUAGUUGAGUGGUUCACAAAUUUCAAAAUAUUGCUAUAGAGAAUGAAAUCAAAAUGGAUGAAACAUGAAAUUGAGCUCUAAUGUACCAUUUAUCACCGAAUCAAAAUGGAUGAAACAAUUAUGUAAUAAUCACUACUACAAUUGAAAAUAUAUUUUAAAACUAUCCAUACGUGAUUUGAUCAUUAAAUUUGAACAAUCAUAAACAAAACAAAAAUUAAAAGUAACGUUGUUAAUUAUUUAUUUAAUUGAGAUCAGAAUGGAUCAUAAUCACAUGUUCCAUCGUUGACUAUUUUUUUUUGUUUGUCUAUUUAUAUGUCACACUCUUACAACUACUUUACAAAUAUUCACAUUCUUCCACUUUCAUACUUUGCCUUUUUAUUAUUCUAUGAAAAGUACACAUUUUGUCUCUCCUUUUUUCUGUAACAUUGUAGUGCCACAUAAAAAGUUUGUUUGCCAUAAACUCAAACUUGUAAAUUGGUAGGCAAUUUUUUUUUUUUUUGUUACAUUUUAUUCUUGUAAAUUCUAUUUCUGUUGUUGAUUGUUGAUAUGAAUUAGCAGUGGUCGGCUUCAUGGUAUUACGGGCCGUUAGAUUAAUAAACUUUUCAUCUAACGUCCUCCAUCCAUCCAACUUUAUUGGAAAGUCGGAUAUAUGAUCAAGCCGAUUGCUGAGGAUCGAAGUUUUUGUUUAUUGGUUGAUUGCAAAUAAAUUUCAUGACCAAACUAGAAAUGGGUCUAGAACUAUUUUAUGAAUGGUUUUGUUUUCCAUGAUGUUUUUUAAUUACCAAACAUUGGUUUAGUUGCUUAUUUUCAUUAUUUGUUAUUGGACAUGUUUAUGUCUUGUCCCUUCUUCUCUAGAACUUUUUUCAUUUGGAUUUUGGCAUGUGUCUUUUCUAGAACAUUGUUUUGUUUUCUCUAGAACAUGUUUAUGAAUAAUUUGAAGUUGUUUGUGAUCUUAUUCUGUAGUUGUUUUGAGAGGGAGAAAUGGUCAAAGGUGCAAUCUCUUUGGUGGCCGGGCUAGUGCUCUUCCAUUGUUGGGUAGCAAUGGCAGAAGCGGAGCAUUUGAGAUACAAAGAUUCAAAGCAGCCGUUGAAUACUCGAAUCAAGGAUCUUAUUGACAGGAUGACUUUGGAAGAGAAAAUUGGUCAGAUGGUUCAGAUUGAACGCGGUGUUGCUUCUGCCGAAGUAAUGAACAAGUACUUCAUUGGUAAGAUUUAUUUGCUAAAUUUUUUUUAUCUUUUAAACUAGAUUUUCAAAAAAAUUUGUUAUUGUUCAUUUGAGCUGCAAAAUGAACAUAAGGAAAUUCACUAAGUUUUUUCUUUUUAUCUCCAUGCCUGCAAUGAAAUUUUAAUUGAGGUUGCAUAUGGAUUCGUUGUAGUAACAGUAUCACGUAGUUUCAUGUUGUAAUCCAUCUCGACCAUUGAUUUGAGGUCGGACUGUUUAGAUUACACAUUCAUUACAUCAAUAUUAAACGAUUCCGACAACCGAUUUAGGUCAGAUGGCUAAGUCACUGCUUGAUUUAAGAUGCCAAAUAAUUUGAAUUAGGAUUUUCUUAACUUUUUAUCUUUAAAUUUUUUAUAGGGAGUGUUCUAAGUGGUGGAGGAAGUGUUCCUAAACCAAAGGCUACUGCAAAGGAUUGGGUUGACAUGAUCAAUGAAUUUCAAAAGGGUGCUUUAUCAACUAGGCUUGGAAUUCCAAUGAUAUAUGGAAUUGAUGCUGUUCAUGGAAAUAAUAAUGUCUAUAACGCAACUAUUUUUCCUCACAAUGUUGGUUUAGGAGCUACAAGGUAUGCCUAUAUUUUUUGUGUGAAAAUUUAAGUUCUUCAAAUCCUUUUUUUGGAAGAAAAUAGUUUCUCAAUUCUUGGUUAUUAUUGAUUUCUUUUAUUCAAAUUCAAAAGUCUUCUCUUGUCUGUUGAAAUACUAUGAUUUUAUUAUUGUCUACUAGUUAUAAAAAAUGGAAUAUGUGCAACUAUAAAUUUGUCAAAACGUGCUUUCAUGUUGUCUAGGGAAGGUACACAAUCCAAAUAAAAUAUUACAACUGGUUGAGACCUAUAAUAUAAUGCAAGAUCAUACCUAUAAUAAUUUUAGUGAUGUUAUCAAAUAUAUUUAAUUUAUUAAAGUGUUCAUAUUUUAAUGGUGUAAUAUUUCCUUUGGUUGACUUUUACUCUAUAUUCUUUUUCCUAUGAUAUUAGACUUUAUUGUAAACAAGCAAGCUAUAAUUUUUAAUUUUAAUAUGAAUGUGCGAGGUGUUGUCAUUAUAGUUUUUGAAUGUAUUGAAAUUAUAUGGAUCAAAUCGGCUAAAAAAGACACAUUCGAGAAUCAAACUAACUAACGAAAGACAAAUUUGAGGAUCAAAUAGACUAAUGACACACUACACCAUUUGUUGUCUCUAGCAACACUUUUUAAGCAACAUGUAAAAAUUGUUGCUAAAAGUCUCUAAUUACACAAAGAAAAUGCCUUUUUUUUCACUAUGACUCUUUGUAUUGAUGAUGUAUUUUUUAUAUCCCAAAUUGCAGGGACCCUCAACUGGUGAAGAAGAUUGGUGAAGCAACCGCUCUUGAAUCCAGAGCAACUGGAAUUCCAUAUGUCUUUGCACCUAGCAUCGCGGUAAUUUAGAUAAUCAAAAUUAUACCUUAGCUCUUUGUCGAUCGUAGAAAAUAACAAUUUGUUCAAAUUUCGCUACGCUACAAUGCUAUAGCGCUAGUAUUGGACAACAAAUUGUAUUAAAUAGUGUGUUGCACAACAAUAGCGAUUUGUUCAAAUUUUGCUAUACGCAGUAGCGAUGUUGCGCCGCUUUUGCAAAUAUUUGACAAUAUUGUUCAACCUAAUGACAUAUGUGUUUGAAUUUAUAGGUGUGUAGAGAUCCAAGAUGGGGUAGAUGUUAUGAAAGUUAUAGUGAAGAUCAUAAAAUUGUCCAAGCUAUGACUGAGUUAAUUCCAGGAUUACAAGGUGACCUCCCUGCAAAUUGGUCAAAUGGUGUUCCAUAUGUUGUUGGAAAGUAAGAGAUCAUGAUGCUGCUGCAUCUUUAUAUAUGCGUGUUUCCUAUAUAACAGUUUGGUUUCCUUCCUAAACCGAAACACGAAUAGUCCUGCAUUUAAUUGUUAAUUUUGAAUUUUUUUUUCGUAUACAAUCAUUUGUCUAUGUUACACUAUUAUGUUUAUCUUGCCUUCAUCAAUUACUUUUAUUGACUUUCAGAACUUACUUUGAUUAUAAAUUCAACUUUGCAUCCUUCUUACAAAAUCAUUCUAUUCAUACUUGAACUUAAAACUGAUUUUCUUGUCAUUUCCUUGUACAGCAAGAAAGUUGCAGCUUGUGCUAAGCACUUUGUUGGUGAUGGUGGAACAACAGAAGGAAUCAAUGAGGAUAACACAGUUGCAACCAGACAUGAAUUGUUUAGCAUUCACAUGCAAGCUUACUAUAACUCGAUCACUAAGGUUGUCUUAACCAUCAUGGUCUCAUACUCAAGCUGGAAUGGAGAAAAGAUGCAUUCUAAUCGCGAUUUAGUCACCGGCUUUCUCAAGAACACGCUCCAUUUCAGGGUAAUACUUUACCUCAUAGGCCUUGGAUUUCAUAGUUUCGAAAGAUUAUAUCAAGAAUUUAUUUUUUAUGAAUUAUCUGUGUAAAAGACGUAACAAUAAAUUAUACUAUGACUGUGUAAAAUAGGUGACUAUAUAUUAUAGCAUAAAUAAUUGUAUAUUAACUUAAGCCUGAAAUUGUUUAUUUAUCGAUCAUCAUAUUAGUAUAUGCUUAAAAUUCUAUGUUUUUAUGCAGGGUUUUGUCAUAUCAGAUUGGAAGGGAAUUGACAGGAUAACUUCACCUCCUCAUGCUAACUACACAUUUUCAAUUGAAGCCGGAGUGAAUGCCGGUAUUGACAUGGUAAACUAUGAAUUUUACUAAUCUUUUGAAUAGCCUUAUAUAUUUUAGGGUUUACAAUACUUGCACACUCUGGGAACCAACCAAUUUCUCUAAAUCCUGGUG
This 6143-nucleotide long non-coding RNA is filed under the name Medicago truncatula (barrel medic). RNAcentral describes it as "long non-coding RNA (MTRU_LNC003969)". The record is from RNAcentral. Lineage: Eukaryota; Viridiplantae; Streptophyta; Magnoliopsida; Fabales; Fabaceae.